GAUGAACGCUGGCGGCGUGCCUAAUACAUGCAAGUCGAGCGAACGGACGAGAAGCUUGCUUCUCUGAUGUUAGCGGCGGACGGGUGAGUAACACGUGGAUAACCUACCUAUAAGACUGGGAUAACUUCGGGAAACCGGAGCUAAUACCGGAUAAUAUUUUGAACCGCAUGGUUCAAAAGUGAAAGACGGUCUUGCUGUCACUUAUAGAUGGAUCCGCGCUGCAUUAGCUAGUUGGUAAGGUAACGGCUUACCAAGGCAACGAUGCAUAGCCGACCUGAGAGGGUGAUCGGCCACACUGGAACUGAGACACGGCACAGACUCCUACGGGAGGCAGCAGUAGGGAAUCGUCCGAAAUGGGGGAAAGCCUGACGGAGCAACGCCGCGUGAGCGAUGAAGGUCUUCGGAGCGGAAAACUCUGUUAUUAGGGAAGAACAUAUGUGUAAGGAACUGUGCACAUCUUGACGGUACCUAAUCAGAAAGCCACGGCUAACUACGUG
Molecule: ribosomal RNA, 497 nt
Filed under: uncultured bacterium
Lineage: Bacteria
Description: partial 16S ribosomal RNA
Rfam family: Bacterial small subunit ribosomal RNA
Source: RNAcentral